AGGAACCUGGGUUAUGUAUCAACAACUGCCACAGAGCAACUGAUUCAGAAAAAUGUCAGAAGCCGCAGGUGAUGACCAGGCUUCCCGGAGAUGAGUCGUGCUGCCAUCAUCACAGGCAGCUGGGUGCAUUCACCUGUCAUUCUGUGCUCCAGCCCCCGAAUGGCCAGGACAGAGCAGAACUAAUUCAGAAAAAAAUGUAGAAAGAAGUGGACUGCCUCAAAAAAAUGAACAGAUUCCUCAGAGUCAGGUUGCAGAGAGAAGCUCUGCAGUGGAGAGCUACUCUGGGCACAUCCAUGGCCCUGCUGCCUCCAUGGACCAACAGUGACUCCAGCCAGAACAUACAGAAGGAUUCAUUCUUGUUCAGUGACAAUAGUCACUGUUUUUCAGGGAUGAAAGAGAAGGAUCGAAACCUUUUGAUUUCACUUUCUAAAGAGUGACUAAACUAAUCUCUCAUUAAGCAUUACAACUUUUAUUUUAGAAACCCAAGUGUGACUUUAAAUUUGUGAGCUUUCCAGGUACUUUUCUUCA
Molecule: long non-coding RNA, 528 nt
Organism: Columba livia (rock pigeon)
Lineage: Eukaryota; Metazoa; Chordata; Aves; Columbiformes; Columbidae
Exons: 4
Source: RefSeq, a predicted model, not a curated record